GAUGAACGCUGGCGGCGUGCCUAAUACAUGCAAGUUGAGCGAUGAAGAUUGGUGCUUGCACCAAUUUGAAUAGCAGCGGACGGGUGAGUAACGCGUGGGGAAUCUGCCUUUGAGCGGGGGACAACAUCUGGAAACGAAUGCUAAUACCGCAUAACAACUUUAAACAUAUGUUUCAAGUUUGAAAGAUGCAAUUGCAUCACUCAAAGAUGAUCCCGCGUUGUAUUAGCUAGUUGGUUAGGUAAAGGCUCAACAAAGCGAUGAUACAUAACCGACCUGAGAGGGGGGACGGCCACAUUGGGACUGGGGCAACGGCCAAACUCCUACGGGAGGCAGCAGUAGGGGAUCUUCGGCAAAGGGCGGAAGUCCGGCCGAGGAAAGGCGGGUGAGUGGAGGAGGUUUUCCGGUCGUAAAAAUCUGUUGGUUGGGAAGGACGUUGGGGAGAGUUAAAAGCGCACGACGUGACGGUAACUACCCAGAAAGGGACGGCUAACUACGUG
Molecule: ribosomal RNA, 497 nt
Filed under: uncultured bacterium
Lineage: Bacteria
Description: partial 16S ribosomal RNA
Rfam family: Bacterial small subunit ribosomal RNA
Source: RNAcentral